RNAcentral lists this ribosomal RNA (484 nucleotides) under uncultured bacterium. Its description in RNAcentral is "partial 16S ribosomal RNA". It matches the Rfam family "Bacterial small subunit ribosomal RNA", at positions 28 to 507 of the family's 1533-position model. The record is from RNAcentral.
GUUGAACGCUGGCGGCAGGCCUAACACAUGCAAGUCGAGCGGAUGAAGGGAGCUUGCUCCUGGAUUCAGCGGCGGACGGGUGAGUAAUGCCUAGGAAUCUGCCUGGUAGUGGGGGAUAACGUCCGGAAACGGGCGCUAAUACCGCAUACGUCCUGAGGGAGAAAGUGGGGGAUCUUCGGACCUCACGCUAUCAGAUGAGCCUAGGUCGGAUUAGCUAGUUGGUGGGGUAAAGGCCUACCAAGGCGACGAUCCGUAACUGGUCUGAGAGGAUGAUCAGUCACACUGGAACUGAGACACGGUCCAGACUCCUACGGGAGGCAGCAGUGGGGAAUAUUGGACAAUGGGCGAAAGCCUGAUCCAGCCAUGCCGCGUGUGUGAAGAAGGUCUUCGGAUUGUAGAGCACUUUAAGUUGGGAGGAAGGGCAGUAAGUUAAUACCUUGCUGUUUUGACGUUACCAACAGAAUAAGCACCGGCUAACUUCGUG